Molecule: non-coding RNA, 23 nt
Filed under: Mus musculus (house mouse)
Lineage: Eukaryota; Metazoa; Chordata; Mammalia; Rodentia; Muridae
Source: RNAcentral
AGAGUUCUCUGGUGGAAUUUUUA